AGGGCACCACCAGGAGUGGAGCCUGCGGCUUUAUUUGACUCAACACGGGGAAACUCACCCGGGCCGGAAACCGGAAGGAUUGACAGAUUGAUAGCUUUUUCAUGAUUCGGGGGAUGGGGGUGCAUGGCCGUUCUUAGCUCGGGGAACGAUUUGGCUGGGUUAUUCCGAUAACGAACGAGACUCUAGCCCAAUAAAUAGUUCGCACAUUGGCUCUGGGGGGGGGACUUCCUAGAGGGAUUUUCGGUGUUCAGCCGCACGAAAUUGAGCAAUAACAGGUCUGUGAUGCCCUUAGAUGUCCGGGGCUGCACGCGCGCUACACUGGCAAAAUCAGCGUGCUUGUCCUUCCCCGAAAGGGGUUGGUAAACCCUUGAAAAUUUGCCGUGAUUGGGAUUGGAAAUUGCAAUUAUUUUCCAUGAACGAGGAAUUCCAAGUAAGUGCGAGUCAUCAGCUCGCGUUGAUUACGUCCCUGCCCUUUGUACACACCGCCCGUCGCUGCCCGGGACUGAGCCAUUUCGAGAA
This 519-nucleotide ribosomal RNA is filed under the name uncultured eukaryote. RNAcentral describes it as "SSU rRNA". It matches the Rfam family "Eukaryotic small subunit ribosomal RNA", at positions 1161 to 1705 of the family's 1831-position model. The record is from RNAcentral.